RNAcentral lists this ribosomal RNA (261 nucleotides) under uncultured archaeon. Its description in RNAcentral is "partial 16S ribosomal RNA". It matches the Rfam family "Archaeal small subunit ribosomal RNA", at positions 748 to 1008 of the family's 1478-position model. The record is from RNAcentral.
AGGGUGUAAACGCUGCAGACUUGGUGUUGGGGGCCCUUUGGGGGCAUUCAGUGCCGGAGAGAAGUUGUUAAGUCUGCUACUUGGGGAGUACGUCCGCAAGGAUGAAACUUAAAGGAAUUGGCGGGGGAGCACCGCAACGGGAGGAGCGUGCGGUUUAAUUGGAUCCAACACCGUAAAACUCACCAGGGAAGACUGUUACAUGAAAGCCGAGAUGAAGACUCUGCUAGAUUUUCAGAGAGGAGGUGCAUGGCGUCAGUGACU